RNAcentral lists this non-coding RNA (56 nucleotides) under Prorocentrum micans. Lineage: Eukaryota; Dinophyceae; Prorocentrales; Prorocentraceae. The record is from RNAcentral.
GUUUUUUUUUUUUUUUUUUUUUUUUUUUUUUUUUUUUUUUUUUCCAACACGUGCCA